RNAcentral lists this ribosomal RNA (371 nucleotides) under uncultured bacterium. RNAcentral describes it as "bacterial SSU rRNA". It matches the Rfam family "Bacterial small subunit ribosomal RNA", at positions 527 to 896 of the family's 1533-position model. The record is from RNAcentral.
GUAGGUGACAAGCGUUGUCCGGAUUUACUGGGCGUAAAGAGCGCGCAGGCGGUCGUUCAAGUCGAGUGUGAAAGCCCCCGGCUCAACUGGGGAGGGUCACUCGAUACUGAUCGACUUGAAGGCAGGAGAGGGUAGUGGAAUUCCCGGUGUAGUGGUGAAAUGCGUAGAUAUCGGGAGGAACACCAGUGGCGAAGGCGACUACCUGGCCUGUUCUUGACGCUGAGGCGCGAAAGCUAGGGGAGCAAACGGGAUUAGAUACCCCGGUAGUCCUAGCCGUAAACGAUGGACACUAGGUGUUGGUGGUAUCAACCCCGCCAGUGCCGAAGCUAACGCAUUAAGUGUCCCGCCUGGGGAGUACGGCCGCUAGGUUU